RNAcentral lists this long non-coding RNA (202 nucleotides) under Capsicum annuum. RNAcentral's name for it is "long non-coding RNA (CANN_LNC015876)". Lineage: Eukaryota; Viridiplantae; Streptophyta; Magnoliopsida; Solanales; Solanaceae. The record is from RNAcentral.
AAGCAUGCUCCCCACGUGUUCGAUUGGAUGCUUAUAUGGAGAAAUGAGGCCAUUUGAUUUGCUAAGUGUGAAGUCCUCAAUUAUGUGUUGCGUAUGAUGGCCUAUGGGCAUGUUGUGUAUGAGUUAUCUAUCUUGUGUUACUUUAUGCUAUUGUGUGCUAGGGGUAUGUAUGCCCGAAAUAGUCUGCUGGUCUAGAGCCGAG